Triticum aestivum (bread wheat) is the source of this 135-nucleotide non-coding RNA. The record is from Rfam. NCBI's taxonomy places the organism in Eukaryota, Viridiplantae, Streptophyta, Magnoliopsida, Poales, Poaceae.
CUCAUACUCCCUCCGUCCGAAAAUACUUGUCAUCAAAAUGGAUAAAAAAAGACGUGUCUAGAACUAAAAUACAUUUAGAUACAUCUCCUUUUGUUUAUUUUGAUGACAAGUAUUUCCGGACGGAGAAAGUAUUCG